Molecule: ribosomal RNA, 535 nt
Filed under: uncultured bacterium
Lineage: Bacteria
Description: bacterial SSU rRNA
Rfam family: Bacterial small subunit ribosomal RNA
Source: RNAcentral
GGANUGCANUGGAGGAACUCUGAUGCAGCGACGCCGCGUGAGCGAUGAAGCCCUUCGGGGUGUAAAGCUCUUUCGACAGGAACGAUAAUGACGGUACCUGGAGAAGAAGCUGCGGCUAACUACGUGCCAGCAGCCGCGGUAAUACGUAGGCAGCAAGCGUUGUUCGGAAUUACUGGGCGUAAAGAGUGUGUAGGCGGUUCUCUAAGUUCGGUGUGAAAUCUCCCGGCUUAACUGGGAGGGUGCGCCGGAAACUGGAGGGCUUGAGUAUGGGAGAGGAAAGCGGAAUUCCUGGUGUAGCGGUGAAGUGCGUAGAUAUCAGGAGGAACACCUGCGGUGUAGACGGCUUUCUGGACCAUCACUGACGCUGAGACACGAAAGCGUGGGUAGCAAACAGGAUUAGAUACCCUGGUAGUCCACGCCCUAAACGAUGCAUACUUGGUGUGAGCCGUUCAUUCGGUUCGUGCCGGAGCUAACGCGUUAAGUAUGCCGCCUGGGGAGUACGGUCGCAAGGCUGAAACUCAAAAAAAUUGACGGA